UAGGGAAUCUUCGGCAAUGGACGAAAGUCUGACCGAGCAACGCCGCGUGAGUGAAGAAGGUUUUCGGAUCGUAAAACUCUGUUGUUAGAGAAGAACAAGGACGUUAGUAACUGAACGUCCCCUGACGGUAUCUAACCAGAAAGCCACGGCUAACUACGUGCCAGCAGCCGCGGUAAUACGUAGGUGGCAAGCGUUGUCCGGAUUUAUUGAGCGUAAAGCGAGCGCAGGCGGUUUCUUAAGUCUGAUGUGAAAGCCCCCGGCUCAACCGGGGAGGGUCAUUGGAAACUGGGAGACUUGAGUGCAGAAGAGGAGAGUGGAAUUCCAUGUGUAGCGGUGAAAUGCGUAGCUAUAUGGAGGAACACCAGUGGCGAAGGCGGCUCUCUGGUCUGUAACUGACGCUGAGGCUCGAAAGAGUGGGGAGCAAACAGG
Molecule: ribosomal RNA, 429 nt
Filed under: Gemmatimonadota bacterium
Lineage: Bacteria; Pseudomonadati; Gemmatimonadota
Description: Gemmatimonadetes bacterium partial 16S ribosomal RNA
Rfam family: Bacterial small subunit ribosomal RNA
Source: RNAcentral